RNAcentral lists this non-coding RNA (32 nucleotides) under Drosophila melanogaster (fruit fly). The record is from RNAcentral. RNAcentral also lists the same sequence under 2 other names. Lineage: Eukaryota; Metazoa; Arthropoda; Insecta; Diptera; Drosophilidae.
GCUGCUUGGACUACAUAUGGUUGAGGGUUGUA